Long non-coding RNA from Mytilus trossulus (common blue mussel), 282 nucleotides. RefSeq lists it as uncharacterized. The record is from RefSeq and is a predicted model, not a curated record. Lineage: Eukaryota; Metazoa; Mollusca; Bivalvia; Mytilida; Mytilidae. The transcript is spliced from 3 exons.
GUUCAUAGUUUUUGCCACUCUUUUUGAUAUACCUUGAGAGAAAGCUUUACAUGUAGCAGCCAUAUUUAAAAUAGUUAUAUAGUUUAUAUUCUGGACACUUAUUCCAUAUUAAUCAGGACCAGAAUAUCUUCAUAUUAAAUUAAUCUGGUGAUGUUUCUAAACAGGAGAUAGACCUUUGUACCAUAUACAUGGGUUGAUUUAUUUAUGUCGUAUGAAUAAAUGAAUAAUUAAACUUGACGAAUCCUUUUAUUCGCCACAAGAACCCUAUUACAUUUGGCGCCC